GAUGAACGCUAGCGGCAGGCUUAACACAUGCAAGUCGGGCGGCAGCGGGGUGGGAGCUUGCUCCCACUGCCGGCGAGCGGCGCACGGGUGAGUAACACGUAUGCAACCUGCCCCUGUCAGGGGGACAACCCGCCGAAAGGCGGGCUAAGCCCGCGUAUAUCUCCCCGGGGCAUCCCGGGGGGAGGAAAGGAGCGAUCCGGACAGGGAUGGGCAUGCGGCGCAUUAGCUGGUCGGCGGGGUAACGGCCCACCGAGGCGACGAUGCGUAGGGGUUCUGAGAGGAAGUCCCCCCACACUGGUACUGAGACACGGACCAG
Molecule: ribosomal RNA, 316 nt
Filed under: uncultured bacterium
Lineage: Bacteria
Description: bacterial SSU rRNA
Rfam family: Bacterial small subunit ribosomal RNA
Source: RNAcentral